RNAcentral lists this ribosomal RNA (552 nucleotides) under uncultured archaeon. Its description in RNAcentral is "bacterial SSU rRNA". It matches the Rfam family "Archaeal small subunit ribosomal RNA", at positions 327 to 879 of the family's 1478-position model. The record is from RNAcentral.
GGGGUGCAGCAGGCGCGAAAACUUUACGAUGCUGGAAACAGCGAUAAGGGCACCUCGAGUGCCAGGUUACAAAUCUGGCUGUCGUGAUGCCUAAAAAGCAUUGCAUAGCAAGGGCCGGGCAAGACCGGCGCCAGCCGCCGCGGUAACACCGGCGGCUCGAGUGGUAACCGUUAUUAUUGGGUCUAAAGGGUCUGUAGCCGGCCGGAUAAGUCUCUUGGGAAAUCCAGCAGCUCAACUGUUGGGCUUUCAGGAGAUACUGUCUGGCUCGAGGCCGGGAGAGGUGAGAGGUACUUCAGGGGUAGGGGUGAAAUCUUGUAAUCCUUGAAGGACCACCAGUGGCGAAGGCGUCUCACCAGAACGGACCUGACGGCAAGGGACGAAAGCUAGGGGCACGAACCGGAUUAGAUACCCGGGUAGUCCUAGCCGUAAACGAUACUCGCUAGGUGUCGGCCACGGUGCGACCGUUGUCGGUGCCGUAGGGAAGCCGUGAAGCGAGCCACCUGGGAAGUACGGCCGCAAGGCUGAAACUUAAAGGAAUUGGCGGGGGAGCAC